UAGGCGGUAUCCGAAAAGCCUACAAUCAAAUAGAGUAGGAA
Non-coding RNA from Kordia algicida OT-1, 41 nucleotides. The record is from Rfam. Lineage: Bacteria; Pseudomonadati; Bacteroidota; Flavobacteriia; Flavobacteriales; Flavobacteriaceae.